Molecule: long non-coding RNA, 565 nt
Organism: Folsomia candida
Lineage: Eukaryota; Metazoa; Arthropoda; Collembola; Entomobryomorpha; Isotomidae
Exons: 3
Source: RefSeq, a predicted model, not a curated record
GGCACUGUUUUGCUCUUAUAUCGUUGAUAGCGAAAUGCCAAACAUUGAGAAAUGUGAGCAUAAAAGUUUAGACCGUCUUGUCCAGUACGUGUUUACUUCAAGUGUUUUACAAAAUUCUAUUUUUACAAAAUUGGAUUCAAAUUUUGAGAAAGAUUUGAUAGCUGGACACUGCACUUCUACAUGCGAAUAAUCAGCAGUUGCAUUCUUCAAUUUUCCGUGGAGAAAAUAACUUCACCAAGCUGGAUGACUUGAAUCAAACGCAAGAAGUGAAUUUCAACUGAAAUUGAUCUCGUUAAAGUAGUUUAUGUGGUAUUAAAUAUUUCUCUAAAACUGGGUGAAAGUUAACCGGAAACAAUCAAGAUGGGGAUCAGCCAUAAAUUACAACGAACCAUGAUGAUGAUACUCUUUCUUUUAUUUGCAACAAUGACAGUCUCCCACGCUAUAAGUUGCUUUGAAUGCUCUAGCGUGGAUGACAAUUUUUGUCCCGAAGCGAUGAGCAGUGACGACGAGGACAUCGUGGAGUUGAAGGAUUGUGGAUCGUCCCUUUACGAGGCGACGUAUUGUG